GCCAACGUCCAUACCACUUUGAAAACACCGGUUCUCGUCCGAUCACCGAAGUUAAGCAACGUCGGGCGCGGUCAGUACUUGGAUGGGUGACCGCCUGGGAACACCGCGUGACGUUGGCU
This 119-nucleotide ribosomal RNA is filed under the name Galleria mellonella (greater wax moth). Lineage: Eukaryota; Metazoa; Arthropoda; Insecta; Lepidoptera; Pyralidae. The record is from RNAcentral.